CGACUUCAAAACGCUUCCGUAAAAAAUUCCACUCCGGUGCGUACUGCUACGUUUUCAGUGUACUAGCAAGUAUACGACGUUUUUGGAAAUAUUUUUCAACAUUUAUCUAAAUAGAAUGAAGGCCAAGGGAUUUGCAGUUACCCAUCACCUGUAAAGGUAAAGCGUUAGUUAGCAGGUUACGGACAACUAACCUAGUUCUUUUACUCGCCAUUUUGAUAAGAGCUACGACCCGAAAUUAUUUUAAUAGCAGGUUAGGAGGGCAGUUUUGCCAUCCCUAAUUAUUUUUUAUAACCUUAACCAAAUUGUCCGAACCUGCUACGUUGUUUCUCAUUACCCGUUGCGUAAUACUUUGUACUAAUCUGCUACGAAAAAGUAACUUCCGGUCGUAACUGUAUCGAAGUGGCGCGAAGAGUGUUUCUCAUGGUUAGAUAGCUACAUCUCCAAAUACGAUGUAGGCAUUUGGCUAGGUAAUUUAUAUAGUGGAAAUUACAUUAUCUGUCUAGUUCAUGUGGAGAGGAAUGUCAUCGGGGUGUUUUUGAUUACUUUGUCUUUGUAGAGACAUUAGUGCAAAAUGGAUGUUGACGUUAAACUAGAGGAAGAUGAGAGGGAGAUAUCCCAUACAGUAAUUUGGUCUGAUUCGAUUAAUGCCUGGAUAGAUUACCCAAAUUCAACAUUGUCAGAAAACACAGAAACAGGUUACCAUGUGGGUUUACUGAAAGAGCAUUCACAUGUACCUCCCAUCAGUCCCCAAACAACAAGCCACGGGCAGAUUUUACGUCUUUUUCCUGAAAUGACCGGAGCAAGUGAUGGGGAGAACAGGGCUGUCAAAGUGGUUUAUUUCUGUAAAGAUCAAGAUACCAUCAGCACAUCUGAAGGGAAUUCAAUCAAAGAGCAGUCAUGGCAUUUAGCACCGUCCAGUGAUAUUCUGACAGGACAUGCAUCCACUUUCAGUGGUUAUUUUGAAGCUCAAAUCAACCCAACUUCACAGGUUUCUAGCCAAACACAGACCAAUAAUAAAUUGCCCUCUGACAAUGUUAAUAUCCCAAGCCCUAGUACUGCCAUUCAUUCUGUGCUAACCUCACCUGCUCCAGAAAACGACUGUCAUUUAGCUGUAUCUACUAGGCCUAUUCUUCCAGAAUAUUGUGAGCCAUUGAACUUUCCCUCUGAUGAAGAGGAAGACUACAAUGCCAAUUUAAGUCAAAGACUACAAUGCCGGAAAACGUUAGAGGAUAAAUGGAUACGUCAGUGUCGUGGCAGUUACUCAAGACCCAACCUAAGAAAGUUUGGGAGAUAUUGGAAAGAUCCAUACGUCAAGUGCAAGGAGAUCGGUGUAGAUUUCAAUGUUGGAUCUGGAGCGAAACAGAAACUGAAUUUGCAUUUACUGACAGUUGGUGUAAUGCUUGAGGUGUCAGAAUAUGCUAGAAUCAUUAAUAGAUCUCGCCCUCAUGUUAUCUUUGAUAUUCUAGAUUACAACUUUGUUCUUGGUGUACAACAUGAACAACAAUAUUACUUUUCAUACAGGGUAGAAAAUAAAUUAAAAGAAAUGAUGAAGAUGUAUUCUAAGAGAACACCUGAGUGGUUAACAGAAGUCUUUGACCUUCCUGAUCCAAAGACAGUUAGAGUUUUGGAAUACUCCUUUAAACGGGAACAGUUCUAUUUGCAAAACAGCUUGUCAAAUCCUACACCUUUUGAUGUUUGCAUAAAGGAGGAGCCUGUUGUGGGCCUGAUCUCUCCUCUGCAUGUGAAGACUGAGAGCUUCUCCACUGAGACAGAUGUGACACGGUGUGCUGAUGAGACGGCAAUCCUUGGCCCUGAAAAUGGACGUAAUGAUACCUGCACAAGGUAUGAGCCUUAUAUGGGCAUCUUCUGUCCUCAACAUGUCCAGACGGAAACCUUCCCAACUCAGACAGAUAUAACAAUGGAUCAAUCCUUCAUGAUGCCCACUGUAGAAGAAGCAUUGAGGGUACUCUACCCGAUCUGUAAGGGAAAAGGACUUGACCUUGUUGUGAAAUCAAAAUAUGGGAAAAAUAAGAAACUUGACUUGCAUCUAUUGACCAGAGAUGUAAUGUUUGAAUUGGCUGACUUUGCCUCACAAGUCUGUGGAAAUCAGAAGCAGGUUGUGUGUGAGUUUCUCGAGCAUAAUUUUGAUUUGGAUUUAAAAAGUGGGAAAACUGAGCUGGCCGAAGAUAUUAUGAGAAGGUUAAGAGCAGUUUUACGGCGCAAGACAGAUAAAAAACGUACAUGGAGAUUGGGACUUGAAAAUGAAGCUUUUUUAAAGAAGUCACGCAAACGAAAGAACCCUGCGGAGAUGUCCACUAACCAGAAGGUCACUACAGCAUCACUUGAGCCGAAAUACCAAAUGAAAGAAGUAUCAAAAAGGAGGAGAUUGAAUUUAAUGAGGAAGAAGAAAGACAUGGACAUGUUAGUAACCAAGGAGACCGAGGGAGGCCAUUUCUCUGAAGUAGUACCAAUAGAACCUCGUCUUGUCAAAAUAGAGAGAAUCUCUGAUGAGACUGACCUUGCACUUUGUACUGACGAAACAAAGCAAAUUGUCGUUAGCAACUUGGACCAAUCAAAUGUGACGUCUCACACCAAAAAUAUGGUGAAAGCCAAAGCGUGCUACCCACUCUGUGAGGAAAUAGGUCUGGACCUUGAUGUCACAUCCAAACCAUCUAAACAGAAACUGGAAUUUAAUUUACUGACAAACGGUGUAAUAUUUGAGGUGCAUAAAUAUGCAGGGAUGAAAUCCCAUCAUAAAAAAAAAAAAAGUGGGCGCAUUCUCAUUGAUAUUCUAAAAUACAAUUUUGAUUUUAGUUUGCAAAAUCAGAGACGUAAUCUAUUUCCACAGCAUAUUUGCUGUAAAGUGAAACGAAUGGUUCAGAAACACAAAUCUGAGCUCAUGAGAAAAAGAGAAAUCUCAAAAGAGGUGUUCAUAAUACCGAGUGUGUUUAAAAGCCAAGCAAAAACAAAUGUGCUUUCAGAUUAUUUUCCUGAAAAAAAUAUGGAACAAAACGCAAGGCUGGUUUAUCCUCAUCAUGGUAAAGACACUAUCUCUGUGGAGACAGCUGAAACAGUCUCCACUGAUGAAGCAGCGAUGCUUGACCGGGAUAAUGGACCUGCUGACAUCUGCAUAAAGGAGGAGGAGGAGUCAGAUCUUCACUCUGAGGUCAAACUGGUUUAUUUCUGCAAAGACCAAGAUACCGUCAGAACAUCUGAAGAGCAUUUGAUCAAAGAUGGAUCAUGGCAUGAAUCAACACCCAGUAAUAUUCUGACUGGAAAUGUAUUCAGCCUUCCACAGUCACCACUACCAGCUGCAGAAAGUGGUCCUUUCGGAAGUAAAACCGAGCCAACUUCACAGAUAUAACCAGACGGUCCAAUGCAGAAUCACUCGAGACAAAAUACCAUAGACUUGACAGAAGUAACCAGGGGAAAAAAGGGAUUUAAUGAGGAUAAAUACAUGUUUAUAGCCAAGAAGGAAAAGAAAGUUGUCAGACAAGUAGAACCUCAUUGAGAUGAGAUGGAUCUGCCAGGGGAAAGAAAAGCACUUCCUUUACUUCCUGACUGAGAUCUCAGGGGGGGGGGGAGAUGGAAAGAAAAGUCUGAUCUGCUCGCUGUGAAACGCCAGUUUCUCAUUUGCCUGAAAAAAAAAUGAGAAAAAGAUUGAUAUUGUUAUAUGUGAUGAAGUGCAACACGAGGUGGAUUCUUACCGAACUUUCAAAAUGCUUUGUAGUCGAGACUGGUUCUGAGAAGAAAUGCUAAAUCCUUGCUGGAUACAGAUCAGGGGGCUAUUGAAAAUCUGCAAAAGUCAAAUUCCCUCAGUUCAAGAAGACGACUCGUACCUGGGAAUGGCUCUGGACUAAUUACAAAAAAUCACUGCAGAAAGCAGAGACAACAAGAGUUUUGCCAAAAGGAAGAAGGGCUGUUGAUCACUUGUGUGGUAGAGAGAAACACCCAGAAUCAGUCUGGACAGGAUGGAGUUUUAGUCUGGACAGGAUGGAGUUUUAGUCUGGACAGGAUGUAGUUUUAGUCUGGACAGGAUGGAGUUUUAUUCUGGACAGGAUGGAGUUUUAGUCUGGACAGGAUGGAGUUUCAGUCUGGACAGGAUGGAGUUUUAGUCUGGACAGGAUGUAGUUUUAGUCUGGACAGGAUGGAGUUUUAUUCUGGAGAGGAUGGAGCUUCAGUCUGGACAGGAUGGAGUUUUAGUCUGGACAGGAUGGAGUUUUAGUCUGGAAAGGAUGGAGCUUCAGUCUGGACAGGAUGGAGUUUCAGUCUGGACAGGAUGGAGUUUUAGUCUGGACAGGAUGGAGAUUUAGUCUGGACAGGAUGGAGCUUCAGUCUGGACAGGAUGGAGCUUCAGUCUGGACAGGAUGGAGCCUAACUGUGGAAAAACAGAAACUGACUGAUACACACAUUACAAUGACAAAUCAAUGACCAGAUUGGCAACCAGCUCCAGCUACUCAGCAUCACUCUGACUAUUUGUGCUGGUUGUUUUCUGUCUCAGCUGAAGGGAGGACAUUGUGUUUUAAAGUAUUUUCUUUCUGUCCUGAAGUAGGUCUACCUGCUUAAUACACACAUACUUUCAUAUAGGUAAAGCAAAGGCACGCUAUGACUUAACUCUACCUUCAUAUAUUGGGCUGCCUUUAUCACAAUAGUUUCACAGUUUAAAAACGUGUGUUUUCAAAUGACUGUAUGCUACAUUGAUCUUUGGAUCACACUUGGAAUGCGAAAGGUUCCGAAUGUUAGUUUUAGGUCUCCCUGAAGUCCGUAGACUUCCACUCUAUUAGUCACCCUAGAACACAGUCAACGAGCCUAACGGAGAGGUGUAUUCAUCAGGGAUAUACUGUAGCUAAAUGUUUAAUGGAGGGCUACGCGAGCGUUUCUUGGACCAUUUCAGAAAUUGGUACACAAGAAGGAGGAGCACUAGUCUUUUUAGGAUUAAGUGAAAAUAGGGAGACAAUGUAUUUGUAUUAAGGGUUUAGUCUUUGAAUCGUGGAUUUGUGCAGAUUCCCUUGGCCUUCCUUCCUGUUUAACCUUUGAUGUCUGGUCUUGCUGUAGAGACUGAAUACAGCAGGAUUAUUGCUAGACUUUUUUUGUUUUCUUAACUAUUUUACGACGUAUUCAUUGACGAAACGAACUCCACUACAAAUACAAGCCUCUAUAGAAGAACCUCUGAUCCUUUUUUUUGUUAGAAAUAAAAAGACAAAGAUGUUUUAUUUUCUAAGAGUAUGUAGUAGUAGCAUUAGUGAAAUAACCUACUAUGAUGGAUCAUAUUAUUAUUAUUUUUAUCAGUGGGCUAUUUUGUUUUUUUUUCCUUUUUUUGUGGAAAGAUUUAGAGACUGUAUCCAGACCUGCCUUACUGUUACCAAUAUGUUCCUUUUUUGAACAGGGAGUUAUUCUACCGUAAACUAAGAUUCUUUUUACGUAUUUUUUAUUUUUUUAAGGAUACUUCCACUGACAUUCUUAGAGCUGUCAUUUUAUUGUGAGGAACUGCAGUUCGAUCGGAAUAGUUUUUCUGUUUUCGUCCUCUGUUUUGUGAGUGACCCUCUCACUCAGUCAACUCGUCUCAGGGCACAAGUCUCCCCUUCUCCAGACACCGCGUGUGAAUCAGAAUCCGUAGCUAGUUGUGACACGUGAGCCUCUGGAUGAAAAGCAGAGUAUCCCUAAAGCAGCGUGGUCCUAUCAGCCCCUCAUGUUGGACUAAACACUUUCAACUCUACACAAGUGAAAACCCCAAAUCCCUAAAGAUCCUCUAUUUGCCAUACUAGAGGGACAUGAAGUCUGACUCCAUCCUCAACAUGUGGACCUGCCCUGAGGAUGUUGGACACCACUGUUACACCUUCAGCCUUCGUUGAUUUCCUGUCAGACUGGUUGUUUUUCAACUCCAUUCCACGGACGGACUGACCCGAACUUUUACCAGAACAGGAACACAAUGUUCAUCAGACUCUCCUCACCAGUGGACUGACUACUGAGACUGGUCAUCUUUGAACUCAAGAGGAAUACAAUGUUCAACAGACUCUCUCCUCACCAGUGGACUGACUACUGAGACUGGUGGUCUUUGAACUCAACAGGAACACAAUGUUCAACAGACUCCCUCCUCACCAGUGGACUGACUACUGAGACUGGUUGUGAGGUCACAGGAAAUAGAGUGAUCUGUUAGGAGGGAUGCAGCAUUGUAAUCCUGAUUUAGAUGAUGGUUAUAAGGAGAGUUCAGGUCGUAACCAGUCCACUGAGAUGAAUGUAGAUGUCGACACCCUGGCCAAUAUAGGCUUUGGAGAGGUAAUGUAAAGUGUCCAAGGCGGUAAAAUAAUCCCUGAUUGUAUUAAAUAAUGUAUUACAUUCCCUUCAUUAAAUUUCCUACAUCACGUUUUGGAAAUACAAUGGUCAUUAAAAAAUCUAAUAAAAUCUGCAUUUACACUGUUUGGCAUUUUUGUGGUGGAGGGUUUUUUUUGUGCAUCUUAAGAGUGGAAACCCUAUGUGAUUGGCUCUUUCAACAUUUCAUCUAGCCUAUCAGUGGGUAUGUUUUGUCACUUUGCUUUGUUACACCACGAUCGUUUGAGUUUUAUGUUCAUUCUAGUCUGGCAAAUAAAAAUAAAAAAAUUGAAUAAUUUUGCACGCCCAAUUUUUCAGUUUUUGAUUUGUUAAAAAAGUUUGAAAUAUCCAAUAAAUGUCGUUCCACUUCA
This is a long non-coding RNA of Oncorhynchus nerka (sockeye salmon), 6680 nucleotides long. RefSeq lists it as uncharacterized. NCBI's taxonomy places the organism in Eukaryota, Metazoa, Chordata, Actinopteri, Salmoniformes, Salmonidae. The transcript has 3 exons. The record is from RefSeq and is a predicted model, not a curated record.